UACAGAGGUCUCAAGCGUUGUUCGGAUUCAUUGGGCGUAAAGGGUGCGUAGGCGGCGCGGUAAGUCGGGUGUGAAAUCUCGGAGCUUAACUCCGAAACUGCAUUCGAUACUGCCGUGCUUGAGGACUGGAGAGGAGACUGGAAUUUACGGUGUAGCGGUGAAAUGCGUAGAUAUCGUGAGGAAGACCAGUGGCGAAGGCGGGUCUCUGGACAGUUCCUGACGCUGAGGCGCGAAGGCCAGGGGAGCAAACGGG
This 253-nucleotide ribosomal RNA is filed under the name uncultured bacterium. RNAcentral describes it as "partial 16S ribosomal RNA". It matches the Rfam family "Bacterial small subunit ribosomal RNA", at positions 524 to 776 of the family's 1533-position model. The record is from RNAcentral.